CAUAAUACUCAGUAUACACACAAAACACACAAAAAAGUGGGGACUCGCUCGUCUGUACUUCUCGAACUGGACGCUGGCUUGACAACAGUACCUCACUUUUCCCACUUAGUGUCGUGUGUUCGUGUGUGUGAGUGUUGGCUGCCUUGUUUUCCAGACUCGACACCGAGAAUGAAUAUAUUCAAACGAGACAAAGGCUCAGCGGCUGCUACUCAGGAGCUCGGCAGUGCCGUCAGACACAGCCAGAACAAGCAGGAUGAUGGGGAUGGCUCACAGGUGAAUGUUCACACUGGGACAUUAAAACACAGUUUUUCAUAUAGGAAGACACCACUGAGGAUGCUAUUGAACUUAAACCAAAGACAAAGCUGAGAGUUUGUCUUUAGUUGGCACGAUUCAAUUUGAAUUUUGCAUUUAUUUCCCUUUUUGUAAUAAACGUGUUGCUUUGCAUAGACACGAGAGGGUGGGGGUGAUGGGGGCAUGCAGAAAGUUAAUCAUUUCACAUUGACCUAUCAGGUAAAAAUGCACCAUCAAGAUGCUGGUGCCUUUCCUGACAUAGUUGUGCAAGCAGAUCUUCUUUUGAGACAGAAAAAAAAGGUAUACCUGAAUGUGAUCACAGGGAAAAUUAUUAUGUUUGAUAAUAGUGAAAAACUCUUCUGUGGAAAAGCUGAGUACACACUAGGCAACUAUUAUGCAAAUUGUACAGUAUGCAAAGUGACUUCUGCAUCAGUUGCUACAAACAUCUGUCACUCUUCCAAAAUAAUUUCAAUUUAAAUC
Pundamilia nyererei is the source of this 771-nucleotide long non-coding RNA. RefSeq lists it as uncharacterized. The transcript is spliced from 3 exons. The record is from RefSeq and is a predicted model, not a curated record. NCBI's taxonomy places the organism in Eukaryota, Metazoa, Chordata, Actinopteri, Cichliformes, Cichlidae.